This 75-nucleotide transfer RNA is filed under the name Calditrichia bacterium. RNAcentral describes it as "tRNA-Arg". It matches the Rfam family "tRNA". From Rfam's summary of the family: Transfer RNA (tRNA) molecules are approximately 80 nucleotides in length. Their secondary structure includes four short double-helical elements and three loops (D, anti-codon, and T loops). Further hydrogen bonds mediate the characteristic L-shaped molecular structure. tRNAs have two regions of fundamental functional importance: the anti-codon, which is responsible for specific mRNA codon recognition, and the 3' end, to which the tRNAs corresponding amino acid is attached (by aminoacyl-tRNA synthetases). tRNAs cope with the degeneracy of the genetic code in two manners: having more than one tRNA (with a specific anti-codon) for a particular amino acid; and 'wobble' base-pairing, i.e. permitting non-standard base-pairing at the 3rd anti-codon position. Lineage: Bacteria; Pseudomonadati; Calditrichota; Calditrichia. The record is from RNAcentral.
GCCCCCGUAGCUCAGUGGAUAGAGCAAUGGCCUCCGGAGCCAUGAGCGCAGGUUCGAUCCCUGCCGGGGGUACAA